UGCCAGCAGCCGCGGUAAUACGGAGGGGGUUAGCGUUGUUCGGAAUUACUGGGCGUAAAGCGCACGUAGGCGGAUUAGUAAGUUAGGGGUGAAAUCCCGGGGCUCAACCCCGGAACUGCCUCUAAUACUGCUAGUCUUGAGUUCGAGAGAGGUGAGUGGAAUACCGAGUGUAGAGGUGAAAUUCGUAGAUAUUCGGUGGAAUACCGGUGGCGAAGGCGGCCCCCUGGCUUGAUACUGACGCUCAGGUGCGAAAGCGUGGGGAGCAAACAGGAUUAGAUA
This 279-nucleotide ribosomal RNA is filed under the name uncultured bacterium. Its description in RNAcentral is "partial 16S ribosomal RNA". It matches the Rfam family "Bacterial small subunit ribosomal RNA", at positions 506 to 784 of the family's 1533-position model. The record is from RNAcentral.